RNAcentral lists this ribosomal RNA (1441 nucleotides) under uncultured organism. Its description in RNAcentral is "SSU rRNA". It matches the Rfam family "Bacterial small subunit ribosomal RNA". The record is from RNAcentral.
GAUGAACGCUAGCUACAGGCUUAACACAUGCAAGUCGAGGGGCAGCAUGAACUUAGCUUGCUAAGUUUGAUGGCGACCGGCGCACGGGUGAGUAACACGUAUCCAACCUGCCGAUGACUCGGGGAUAGCCUUUCGAAAGAAAGAUUAAUACCCGAUGGCAUAGUUCUUCCGCAUGGCAGAACUAUUAAAGAAUUUCGGUCAUCGAUGGGGAUGCGUUCCAUUAGGUUGUUGGCGGGGUAACGGCCCACCAAGCCUUCGAUGGAUAGGGGUUCUGAGAGGAAGGUCCCCCACAUUGGAACUGAGACACGGUCCAAACUCCUACGGGAGGCAGCAGUGAGGAAUAUUGGUCAAUGGACGAGAGUCUGAACCAGCCAAGUAGCGUGAAGGAUGACUGCCCUAUGGGUUGUAAACUUCUUUUAUACGGGAAUAAAGUGAGGCACGUGUGCCUUUUUGUAUGUACCGUAUGAAUAAGGAUCGGCUAACUCCGUGCCAGCAGCCGCGGUAAUACGGAGGAUCCGAGCGUUAUCCGGAUUUAUUGGGUUUAAAGGGAGCGUAGGCGGACGCUUAAGUCAGUUGUGAAAGUUUGCGGCUCAACCGUAAAAUUGCAGUUGAUACUGGGUGUCUUGAGUACAGUAGAGGCAGGCGGAAUUCGUGGUGUAGCGGUGAAAUGCUUAGAUAUCACGAAGAACUCCGAUUGCGAAGGCAGCUUGCUGGACUGUAACUGACGCUGAUGCUCGAAAGUGUGGGUAUCAAACAGGAUUAGAUACCCUGGUAGUCCACACAGUAAACGAUGAAUACUCGCUGUUUGCGAUAUACAGUAAGCGGCCAAGCGAAAGCGUUAAGUAUUCCACCUGGGGAGUACGCCGGCAACGGUGAAACUCAAAGGAAUUGACGGGGGCCCGCACAAGCGGAGGAACAUGUGGUUUAAUUUGAUGAUACGCGAGGAACCUUACCCGGGCUUGAAUUGCAACUGAAUGAUGUGGAGACAUGUCAGCCGCAAGGCAGUUGUGAAGGUGCUGCAUGGUUGUCGUCAGCUCGUGCCGUGAGGUGUCGGCUUAAGUGCCAUAACGAGCGCAACCCUUAUCGAUAGUUACCAUCAGGUUAUGCUGGGGACUCUGUCGAGACUGCCGUCGUAAGAUGUGAGGAAGGUGGGGAUGACGUCAAAUCAGCACGGCCCUUACGUCCGGGGCUACACACGUGUUACAAUGGGGGGUACAGAAGGCAGCUACACGGCGACGUGAUGCUAAUCCCUAAAGCCUCUCUCAGUUCGGAUUGGAGUCUGCAACCCGACUCCAUGAAGCUGGAUUCGCUAGUAAUCGCGCAUCAGCCACGGCGCGGUGAAUACGUUCCCGGGCCUUGUACACACCGCCCGUCAAGCCAUGAAAGCCGGGGGUACCUGAAGUGCGUAACCGCAAGGAGCGCCCUAGGGUAAAACUGGAGA